UUUAGUGCUCCUAAUUAGCCUCCGAAUAUUCGAUGUGAUAUAAAUUUUAGGAGAUCCUAGAGAUCCAAACACCCCCUUAGAAGCUUGAAUCGGGAGUGAUGUUAGAAGCUUGGAUGGGGAGUAAUUUUGUUAGGCCUCAAAAACUACUGCAAGGUGAGACAACCUGAGAUCUGUCGCUGUAGAAAUCCUUCCUCACCGCUGGUCAUCAGAAGUUUUGAUGGUUUGCACAUGGACCCGUUUGAAACCAUGAGGAUCUCCACAAGACGUUGCGAGGUUGUUCAGCCGAUACAUCGGGGAGCAUCAUCGUCGGCAGCCAUGUUGGUAUCGCGUUUUCCCCGUGUGCCAGGCUGACCGGCCGGGAGGACGGCUUUGAUGGCGAGGGUCGCUGUUGCAUUAAGUUGCAAGAGGACCUUGCAAUGAAUUCCGUGACGCGGGCUGACCUGAUGCGUCCCAUCGACCUACUAAUUGUGAUUGUUGCGGCUGGAUGAGACCUGAUCUCCAGGUAAGGCACACACACACGCUCCUCCAGUGCAGAUUGUACAAUACCGUGCACUACUGACUGCAAGCGUACGUACCCCAUCCUCUCGACUCUGAGAUGAUAAUUGGCAGUUGGCACCAACGCUCCUGCCGUCCUUUCGGUGACGGAAAAAUGGCACCAACUCGUCAGGAUCAGACCUCUGAGCAAGUAUAAAGGACAUGUGGGUACAGACUACAGAUCGAGUAGCUAGAGCACGUUGUUGAUCCAUGGACAAUAAUGUACAGACAGGCUCAUUACUGGUGAUGUCCAUUAAUGUGAUCUCAAGUUUCGCCGGGAACUGCUACGCCCUCACGGCUCACCGGCGUGUCCGUCCCUGUCGUCGUCGCUGUUGCGCACGAUGGCCAAGUUGGCGAGACAUCUGGUACGCCACAUUAACUCGCGACGAUGGCGAUCGAGAGCUCGUCGAUCCAUCCAUCGCCGGCCGCCGGCUGACCCGGUCAGUCUCCUCCGAUCCGCUACUCUGGUUGGUAGGUCGUCGGAGCCUUAAAGUUCAUCGGUUGUUCUUCCUUUUUUUCUAUCUUGCGUGGAGAAUUGGAGUGUUUUGACCAUUAUAUUCGGGCAUCAUGAAUUCAUGAUCAGUGGUGCUCUGUCCCUGG
Molecule: long non-coding RNA, 1134 nt
Organism: Setaria italica (foxtail millet)
Lineage: Eukaryota; Viridiplantae; Streptophyta; Magnoliopsida; Poales; Poaceae
Exons: 2
Source: RefSeq, a predicted model, not a curated record